Molecule: small nuclear RNA, 93 nt
Organism: Marmota marmota marmota (Alpine marmot)
Lineage: Eukaryota; Metazoa; Chordata; Mammalia; Rodentia; Sciuridae
Source: Ensembl
CAUGGAUGGCUCGUGACACCAAAUGAUACAGAGAAGAUAAGCAUAGGCUCUGCACCAGAUGACACACAAAUGCAUGAAGUGUUUCAUUUUUUU